CUGUUGAGGCAUUUCCACCAUGGCCUGGACUGUGCUCCUCCUCACCCUCCUCACUCAGGGCACAGGGUCCUGGGCCCAGUCUGCCCUGACACAGCCUUCCUCUGCGUCUGGGGCUCUGGGUCAGUCAGUCACCAUCUCUUGCUCCGGAAGCAGCAGCGACAUUGGGGGUUAUAACUACAUCUACUGGUACCAACAGCACCCAGGCACAGCCCCCAAACUCCUGAUUUAUAAUGUGAAUAGUCGGGCUUCAGGGAUCCCUGCUCGCUUCUCUGGCUCCAAGUCUGGCAACACGGCCUCCCUGACCAUCUCUGGGCUCCAGGCUGAGGAUGAGGGUGAUUAUUACUGUAGCUCAUAUGUGGGCAGUAACACUUUCCACGUUGGUUUAAGUUCGUGGGGAA
Molecule: non-coding RNA, 398 nt
Organism: Ceratotherium simum simum (southern white rhinoceros)
Lineage: Eukaryota; Metazoa; Chordata; Mammalia; Perissodactyla; Rhinocerotidae
Source: the annotation of a RefSeq genome assembly